Manis javanica (Malayan pangolin) is the source of this 904-nucleotide non-coding RNA. NCBI's taxonomy places the organism in Eukaryota, Metazoa, Chordata, Mammalia, Pholidota, Manidae. The record is from RefSeq and is a predicted model, not a curated record.
AGAACUGCCCUCCCAGUCCAUCAUUAAGGAGCACAGCCCGCUGCAGGAGGGGGCCUCUCACCGGAAGGGAACACGGUUUUACUUCCUGAGUGGUGGUCUGCAAUCCUCCUCUCCACAGAUAGCCUGUGAGGAAGAGCACUUGGUCUGUCCCUGCGGCAAUGCCUGCUGAACCCAGCAGUGCUUCCCCACCCCUGCUGAUAGCCGGUUUGGGCUGGCUUCAUCUUGGUGUUAGUAAUGAGAUAUGAAAUGCCAUCCGCUUCCCAAAAUUUCUGCAGAAGCUUGAGCACUUCUAUAGAUACCAACUGUAACCUGGCAUAUCAGGGACAAAUAUUCCAAGAGCAUGAAGAAUGGGCAAUUUACAAAUGGAAACAUGGAUACAUAAUGAUUUCAGUUGGUGUCUCUCUACUUCAGAUGACCAACUUCCAGUAAAGAGCAGAAAGUAUUUUCUUUGAAGAGGCUGAGAAAGCAUUAAAUACUGAAAUGAACAAGGAGUUUGGGGUCAGAAGUCUAAUAGUAGUGAGCAGAAACUCAUCUAAGAAGGAAAAGAGUGAUUCUCAAGAUGAUUUGUCCUGCAGUCAUUCCCAAGAGGUUCCACAAAUAAAAUCAUACAGAUUUUGUUUUUCUGUCUGACUUAUUUGACUUAGAGUAACACCCUCUAGGCCCACCACCUUGUCACAAAUGGCAAUUUCAUCUUCUCCCUGACCGUCAGCACGAUCUGUGAGGAGAUAAUUUGCCAGUCUGUGGCUCUGGACUCAACCCUGUCUCUGGGGCAUACCCAACACGUGCACUUAGAUGUCUCAGAAACUCCUCAGAUUCAGUGUUGCCAAGAUCACAGGCAUAAACUCCAUGAGGGCAGACUGUGCUUAUAAUUGCUUCUCAUUUACUUCCCAAGAUAAGAUCCUGC